RNAcentral lists this ribosomal RNA (541 nucleotides) under uncultured Glomerales. RNAcentral's name for it is "SSU rRNA". It matches the Rfam family "Eukaryotic small subunit ribosomal RNA", at positions 548 to 1090 of the family's 1831-position model. Lineage: Eukaryota; Fungi; Glomeromycota; Glomeromycetes; Glomerales; Glomeraceae. The record is from RNAcentral.
UUGGAGGGCAAGUCUGGUGCCAGCAGCCGCGGUAAUUCCAGCUCCAAUAGCGUAUAUUAAAGUUGUUGCAGUUAAAAAGCUCGUAGUUGAAUUUCGGGGUCAGUAGAUUGGUCAUGCCACUGGUAUGUACUGGUCUCACUGAUUCCUCCUUCCUGAUGAGCCGUAAUGCCAUUAAUUUGGUGUUGCGAGGAAUCUGGACUGUUACUUUGAAAAAAUUAGAGUGUUUAAAGCAGGCUAACGCUUGAAUACAUUAGCAUGGAAUAAUGAAAUAGGACGUUCGAUCUUAUUUUGUUGGUUUCUAAGAUUGACGUAAUGAUUAAUAGGGAUAGUUGGGGGCAUUAGUAUUCAAUUGUCAGAGGUGAAAUUCUUGGAUUUAUUGAAGACUAACUACUGCGAAAGCAUUUGCCAAGGAUGUUUUCAUUAAUCAAGAACGAAAGUUAGGGGAUCGAAGACGAUCAGAUACCGUCGUAGUCUUAACCAUAAACUAUGCCGACUAGGGAUCGGAUGAUGUUAAUUUUUUAAUGACUCAUUCGGCGCCUUA